Zingiber officinale is the source of this 107-nucleotide small nucleolar RNA. The record is from RefSeq and is a predicted model, not a curated record. Lineage: Eukaryota; Viridiplantae; Streptophyta; Magnoliopsida; Zingiberales; Zingiberaceae.
AUUCUAUGGUGGGGGCAUUGUUGCAGAAGGUUUUUGUAACAAUCCCAAGAUUCAAAUAGAGACUCCCCAUCAUUUUGUAUGGAAUUAGUGAUAAAAUAUCUCAUAUG